This is a non-coding RNA of Grammomys surdaster, 448 nucleotides long. NCBI's taxonomy places the organism in Eukaryota, Metazoa, Chordata, Mammalia, Rodentia, Muridae. The record is from the annotation of a RefSeq genome assembly.
UGAUUUCCCCAGCCUUAAGUUCCCAGGUUCAUUGACCAGCCUUAAUCACAGAUCUUUCACCAUGAAGUUGUGGCUGAACUGGAUUUUCCUUCUAACACUUUUAAAUGGUAUCCAGUGUGAGGUGAAGCUGGUGGAAUCUGGAGGAGGCUUGGUACAGCCUGGGGGUUCUCUGGGACUCUCCUGUGCAGCUUCUGGAUUCACCUUCACUGAUUUCUACAUGAGCUGGGUCCGUCAGCCUCCAGGGAAGGCACCUGAGUGGUUGGGUUUAAUUAGAAACAAAGCUAAUGGUUACACAACAGAGUACAGUGCAUCUGUGAAGGGUCGGUUCACCAUCUCCAGAGAUAAUACCCAAAACAUCCUCUAUCUUCAAAUGAACAACCUGAGAGCUGAGGACACUGCCACUUAUUACUGUGCAAGAGAUAUACACAUUGAGGGGAUUUCAGUGUGA